UACGAAGGGUGCAAGCGUUACUCGGAAUUACUGGGCGUAAAGCGUGCGUAGGUGGUGCGUUAAGUCUGUCGUGAAAGCCCCGGGCUCAACCUGGGAAUGGCGAUGGAUACUGGCGCGCUAGAGUGCGGUAGAGGAGAGUGGAAUUCCCGGUGUAGCAGUGAAAUGCGUAGAGAUCGGGAGGAACACCAGUGGCGAAAGCGGCUUCCUGGUCCGACACCGACGUUCAGGCACGAAAGCGUGGGGAGCAAACAGG
RNAcentral lists this ribosomal RNA (253 nucleotides) under uncultured bacterium. Its description in RNAcentral is "partial 16S ribosomal RNA". It matches the Rfam family "Bacterial small subunit ribosomal RNA", at positions 524 to 776 of the family's 1533-position model. The record is from RNAcentral.